Molecule: ribosomal RNA, 255 nt
Filed under: uncultured Staphylococcus sp.
Lineage: Bacteria; Bacillati; Bacillota; Bacilli; Caryophanales; Staphylococcaceae
Description: partial 16S ribosomal RNA
Rfam family: Bacterial small subunit ribosomal RNA
Source: RNAcentral
GGUAGUAACACGUGGAUAACCUACCUAUAAGACUGGGAUAACUUCGGGAAACCGGAGCUAAUACCGGAUAAUAUAUUGAACCGCAUGGUUCAAUGUGAAAGACGGUUUUGCUGUCACUUAUAGAUGGAUCCGCGCCGCAUUAGCUAGUUGGUAAGGUAACGGCUUACCAAGGCAACGAUGCGUAGCCGACCUGAGAGGGUGAUCGGCCACACUGGAACUGAGACACGGUCCAGACUCCUACGGGAGGCAGCAGAC